RNAcentral lists this ribosomal RNA (568 nucleotides) under uncultured bacterium. Its description in RNAcentral is "partial 16S ribosomal RNA". It matches the Rfam family "Bacterial small subunit ribosomal RNA", at positions 355 to 912 of the family's 1533-position model. The record is from RNAcentral.
UGGGGAAUAUUGCACAAUGGGCGCAAGCCUGAUGCAGCCAUGCCGCGUGUGUGAAGAAGGCCUUCGGGUUGUAAAGCACUUUCAGCGAGGAGGAAGGUGGUGAACUUAAUACGUUCAUCAAUUGACGUUACUCGCAGAAGAAGCACCGGCUAACUCCGUGCCAGCAGCCGCGGUAAUACGGAGGGUGCAAGCGUUAAUCGGAAUUACUGGGCGUAAAGCGCACGCAGGCGGUUUGUUAAGUCAGAUGUGAAAUCCCCGGGCUCAACCUGGGAACUGUAUUUGAAACUGGCAAGCUAGAGUCUCGUAGAGGGGGGCUAGAAUUCCAGGUGUAGCGGUGAAAUGCGUAGAGAUCUGGAGGAAUACCGGUGGCGAAGGCGGCCCCCCUGGACGAAGACUGACGCUCAGGUGCGAAAGCGUGGGGCAGCAAACAGGAUUAGAUACCCUGGUAGUCCACGCUGUAAACGAUGUCGAUUUGGAGGUUGUGCCCUUGAGGCGUGGCUUCCGGAGCUAACGCGUUAAAUCGACCGCCUGGGGAGUACGGCCGCAAGGUUAAAACUCAAAUGAAUUG